RNAcentral lists this transfer RNA (78 nucleotides) under Desulfobacterales bacterium. RNAcentral's name for it is "tRNA-His". It matches the Rfam family "tRNA". Rfam says of the family: Transfer RNA (tRNA) molecules are approximately 80 nucleotides in length. Their secondary structure includes four short double-helical elements and three loops (D, anti-codon, and T loops). Lineage: Bacteria; Pseudomonadati; Thermodesulfobacteriota; Desulfobacteria; Desulfobacterales. The record is from RNAcentral. RNAcentral also lists the same sequence under 2 other names.
GUGAGCGUAGCUCAGUUGGUUGGUAGCACCGGGUUGUGGCCUCGGAGGUCGUGGGUUCAAGUCCCAUCGCUCACCCCA